RNAcentral lists this ribosomal RNA (497 nucleotides) under uncultured bacterium. Its description in RNAcentral is "partial 16S ribosomal RNA". It matches the Rfam family "Bacterial small subunit ribosomal RNA", at positions 28 to 507 of the family's 1533-position model. The record is from RNAcentral.
GAUGAACGCUGGCGGCGUGCCUAAUACAUGCAAGUCGAGCGAACGGACGAGAAGCUUGCUUCUCUGAUGUUAGCGGCGGACGGGUGAGUAACACGUGGAUAACCUACCUAUAAGACUGGGAUAACUUCGGGAAACCGGAGCUAAUACCGGAUAAUAUUUUGAACCGCAUGGUUCAAAAGUGAAAGACGGUCUUGCUGUCACUUAUAGAUGGAUCCGCGCUGCAUUAGCUAGUUGGUAAGGUAACGGCUUACCAAGGCAACGAUGCAUAGCCGACCUGAGAGGGUGAUCAGCCACACUGGAGCUGAGACACGGUCCAGACUCCUACGGGAGGCAGCAGUAGGGAGUCUUCCGCAAUGGGCGAAAGCCUGACGGAGCAACGCCGCGUGAGUGAUGAAAGUCUUCGGAUCGUAAAACUCUGUUAUUAGGGAAGAACAUAUGUGUAAGUAACUGUGCACAUCUUGACGGUACCUAAUCAGAAAGCCACGGCUAGCUACGUG